This 207-nucleotide ribosomal RNA is filed under the name uncultured bacterium. Its description in RNAcentral is "partial 16S ribosomal RNA". It matches the Rfam family "Bacterial small subunit ribosomal RNA", at positions 568 to 774 of the family's 1533-position model. The record is from RNAcentral.
CGUGUAGGCGGUUUUCUAAGUCUGGUGUGAAAGCCCGGGGCUCACCCCCGGAAGUGCACUGGAUACUGGGAGACUUGAGUACCGGAGAGGAGGGUGGAAUUCCUGGUGUAGCGGUGAAAUGCGUAGAUAUCAGGAGGAACACCGGUGGCGAAGGCGGCCCUCUGGACGGCUACUGACGCUGAGACGCGAAAGCGUGGGGAGCAAACA